UACGUAGGGUGCGAGCGUUGUUCGGAAUUACUGGGCGUAAAGGGCGCGUAGGCGGCCUUCUAAGUCGAACGUGAAAUCCCCGGGCUCAACCCGGGAACUGCGUCCGAUACUGGAAGGCUUGAAUCCGGGAGAGGGAUGCGGAAUUCCAGGUGUAGCGGUGAAAUGCGUAGAUAUCUGGAGGAACACCGGUGGCGAAGGCGGCAUCCUGGACCGGCAUUGACGCUGAGGCGCGAAAGCCAGGGGAGCAAACGGG
This 253-nucleotide ribosomal RNA is filed under the name uncultured bacterium. RNAcentral describes it as "partial 16S ribosomal RNA". It matches the Rfam family "Bacterial small subunit ribosomal RNA", at positions 524 to 776 of the family's 1533-position model. The record is from RNAcentral.